Molecule: ribosomal RNA, 468 nt
Filed under: uncultured bacterium
Lineage: Bacteria
Description: partial 16S ribosomal RNA
Rfam family: Bacterial small subunit ribosomal RNA
Source: RNAcentral
GACGAACGCUGGCGGCGCGCUUAACACAUGCAAGUCGAACGGAAAGGCCCUGCUUUUGUGGGGUGCUCGAGUGGCGAACGGGUGAGUAACACGUGAGUAACCUGCCCUUGACUUUGGGAUAACUUCAGGAAACUGGGGCUAAUACCGGAUAGGAGCUCCUGCUGCAUGGUGGGGGUUGGAAAGUUUCGGCGGUUGGGGAUGGACUCGCGGCUUAUCAGCUUGUUGGUGGGGUAGUGGCUUACCAAGGCUUUGACGGGUAGCCGGCCUGAGAGGGUGACCGGCCACAUUGGGACUGAGAUACGGCCCAGACUCCUACGGGAGGCAGCGGUGGGGAAUAUUGCACAAUGGGCGGAAGCCUGGUGCAGCAACGCCGCGUGCGGGAUGACGGCCUUCGGGUUGUAAACCGCUUUCGCCUGUGACGAAGCGUGAGUGACGGUAAUGGGUAAAGAAGCACCGGCUAACUACGUG